GCUGGGCAUGGUGGCUCAUGCCUGUAAUUCCAGCUACUUGGGAGGCUGAGGCAGGAGAAUCACUUGAACCCAGGAGGCGGACGUUGCAGUGAGCUGAGAUGGCGCCACUGCACUCCAGCCUGGGUGACAGAGUGAGACUCUGUCUCAA
This is an unclassified non-coding RNA of Papio anubis (olive baboon), 148 nucleotides long. It matches the Rfam family "Metazoan signal recognition particle RNA". Rfam says of the family: The signal recognition particle (SRP) is a universally conserved ribonucleoprotein. NCBI's taxonomy places the organism in Eukaryota, Metazoa, Chordata, Mammalia, Primates, Cercopithecidae. The record is from Ensembl.